RNAcentral lists this ribosomal RNA (466 nucleotides) under uncultured ciliate. Its description in RNAcentral is "SSU rRNA". It matches the Rfam family "Eukaryotic small subunit ribosomal RNA". The record is from RNAcentral. Lineage: Eukaryota; Ciliophora.
AUUUGUCUGGUUAAUUCCGAUAACGAACGAGACCUUAACCUGCUAACUAGUUUAAAUUAUUUUAUAAUUUUUAACUUCUUAGAGGGACUAUGUACAUAAAUAUAUGGAAGUUUGAGGCAAUAACAGGUCUGUGAUGCCCUUAUAUGUCCUGGGCUGCACGCGUGCUACACUGAUGUAUACAGCAAGUGCCUAACUAGAUAUGGUAUGGCAAUCUCGAAUAUGCAUCGUGAUGGGGAUAGAUCUUUGCAAUUAUAGAUCUUGAACGAGGAAUUCCUAGUAAGUGCAAGUCAUCAUCUUGCAUUGAUUAUGUCCCUGCCCUUUGUACACACCGCCCGUCGCUCCUACCGAUACCGGGUGAUCCGGUGAACCUUUUAGACCUUUCACGAGGAAAGAUAAGUAAACCAUAUCACCUAGAGGAAGGAGAAGUCGUAACAAGGUUUCCGUAGGUGAACCUGCRGAAGGAUCA